GAUGAAGAACGUAGCGAAAUGCGAUAAGUAGUGUGAAUUGCAGAAUUCAGUGAAUCAUCGAAUCUUUGAACGCACAUUGCGCCCCUUGGUAUUCCAUGGGGCAUGCCUGUUCGAGCGUCAUUUGUACCGUCAAGCUCUGCUUGGUGUUGGGUGUUUGUCUCGCCUCUGCGUGUAGACUCGCCUCAAAACAAUUGGCAGCCGGCGUAUUGAUUUCGGAGCGCAGUACAUCUCGCGCUUUGCACUCAUAACGACGACGUCCAAAAGUACAUUUUUACACUCUUGACCUCGGAUCAGGUAGGGAUACCCGCUGAACUUAAGCAUAUCAAUAAGCGGAGGA
This 337-nucleotide unclassified non-coding RNA is filed under the name soil metagenome. Its description in RNAcentral is "partial contains 5.8S ribosomal RNA, internal transcribed spacer 2, and large subunit ribosomal RNA". The stretch from base 1 to 120 matches the Rfam family "5.8S ribosomal RNA", at positions 35 to 154 of the family's 154-position model. The record is from RNAcentral.